GAGAAUUGAUCUCUAAUUUACAUUGCGUGCAUUUUCAUUAAUUUUUGCUAGUUAUUUACCUUUAAUGGACAUAUUGGUUGUUUUCCAAUUUUAUGUAUUACAAAUAUUCUGCAGUGAGCCUUCUUAUGCUUGUAUUUUUAUCUCUAUGAUAUUAUUUCGGUAUAAUAAUUUACAAGAAGUGGGUGGGAUGGCUGAAGAUGGGAUAUGCACUUUAAAAAAAUAAGAAUAAAACCAAUUUACUCUUCAAAGAGUUGUAUCCAUUUACAUUACCACUAACCUUAACUAAUACACGCCAUUAAUCUAUUAUUAUCUAGAAUAAUCUGAUAGAAAAAGUGAGUCAAUUAUAUGUCAUGCUUAUUUGGUAUUUCUUUUGUUUAUUGUUUGUUUAUAUGUUUUGUUUCUUUUUCUAUGGCCUUUUACUUUAUGGAUUUUGAUUUUAUGUUAUUUGGCACAUAAAUGCUUGUGGAUGUUAUAUUAUCUUCUUCAAUUGUAUUCUUUGAUAUUUUUUUACCUCAAAUUCUAUUUCACAGGGUAAUAAUGUAAAUACUAUGGUUAUCUCUCUGUCUCUGUUUAAUUAUUCUAUUUUCUUCCUCUUUACAUUCAACUUCUCUAUCACUUUAUAUUUAGGCAUAUCACUUGUUAGAUUUUGUAAUCUGAAAGGCUUUCCCUUUUAUAGGAUAAAUUAUUCCCACUCAUUGUGAAAACAUAUGUGCUUGUCAGAUGCUUAAUUUUUUCCCUUUCUACCAUCCAUUUAUUUUUAUAAUUUCUCAUUGUCUUAUUUUUUCUAGAUAAAAAUUUAUUUUCAUAGAAUUUAAUUAAUAAUUAGUAAAAAUGACUUUUUUCUUCAUGUAGAGGAAAAUGAUCACUUAAAAUGUGAAUAUAUGCAAGAAAUCCAAAGAAAAAAUAAUCAUAGUUUUACUAUUGAGAGAUUUACCUGUUAAUCUUUGCUGUAAUACCAUGAAGUCAUUUUUUAAUGUCUUGUCAAUAUGAAUAGGGGUGUUCUUUUUAUACAGAGAUGCAAUUUUGUUUUAUUUUCCUACGGUUUUUUAGACCAGUGUUAUUUCUGUAUUGUAUUUAAAAUUCCAGUGUUAUAUUAGUUUCAGAUGUAAAAUAUAGUGAUUCAACAACUCCCUUCAUCACCCAGUGCUCAUCAUGCCCCCCUUCAUCCCCAUCGCCUAUUUGACCCAUCCCCCACCCACUUUCCUUCUGGUAACCAUCACUUUCUUCUCCAUAAUUAAGAGUUUGUUUCUUGUUUUUUUUUUUCUCUCUCUCUCUUUUUCCCCUUUGCUCAGUUAUUUGUUCCUUAAAUUACACAUAUAAGUGGAAUUAUAUGGCAUUUUUAUGUCUCUGACUGAAUUACUGCACUUAGCUUUACACUUUCUGGUCUAUCCAUAUCAUAGCACAUAUACCUGGUUUCUUAACUCUGUUGCAGGAUUCAAUUUUUGUAAGUCCUAUACGGUCUUUUGGUAUAUUCCAGACACUGUUUUGCCAAGGUCACCAAUGUCUUUCAAGAUGGACGACUUGAGAUCACUCUUCUGAUCUCUUCUCACUUGACCUAUCAAUAGCAUUUUUCACAGGUGAUCAAUCCCUCCUUAAAUUUGAUUCUUUUUUUUUUUUUUUUCCUGGAGGAAGGCGCUUCCAAAGCAUCAUAUUCUCUUGGUUUUAAACACUUUUUGACAGCUCAUUUUCUAUCUUCUUUUUAAGCUACUUUUUCCUAGAGCCAACCCCGAUCUGCCCUACAGCCCUCUUUCUAUAUACAAGUAAUCUCACGUGAUUUCUGAUGCCUUCAUGCUGUGAAUGGCCCUGAUUUGCCCCUGGCUCCCAUAUGAGUAUCUCGAUCCUGACUCUGGACUUUGUACCUGGCCAUAUCUACUCUCUCUGCUUGUACAUUUAAAAAGCAUCAAAAAAAAAAAUAAAAAAAAUAAAAAAUAAAAAUAAAAAUAAAAAGCAUCUCACACUUAUUUAAAAAAAAAUAAUAAUCAUCAUCUAAACUUAGCAUUUUUCACAAAGUCUCUAGACUUUGCCAUCUCAGGAAACUGCACCACAACUAAGGCCAAAUUCUGUUAUUCCGUGUUAGCCUUUUUAUCACCCCACAUCCAAAUCUAUCAGAACUCUUGUCAAUCUAGUUCAUAACGAUUUCCUUGAUUUGUUAUCUCAUCCCCAUCUCUACUCACCAUUAUAGAUGAAUUGCGUCUAUUAUAGUAUCUUCCCAAUAUUGUCCCUGCUUUCACCUAUCUUUUAUGAUUCUUCAUGUACUAGUUAUGGUGCCAUUUUCUUCUUCCUCCAUCCAUCCUUUCCUUCUUUUUUUUUUUUU
RNAcentral lists this long non-coding RNA (2314 nucleotides) under Canis lupus familiaris (dog). Its description in RNAcentral is "lncRNA (ENSCAFG00845016510.1)". Lineage: Eukaryota; Metazoa; Chordata; Mammalia; Carnivora; Canidae. The record is from RNAcentral.